AAAUAAAGCACCACGAGAUAAGCUUUGACAUGCUUACCAUUAAAAACAAAAAAGAAAAUUUCCUCUAGCUGAUUCCUGCCAUAAAUUUCCAUUAGCCAGCACCAACUUGCGUUCUUGGAUAUAUAUGCUUCUUUUCCUACAGCAUAAAAAAUACAAUAUUCUUCCAGGGAAAAAAGAGAUAGAUUAAUUAGAGAGAAAAUAAAAGGUGCAUCAACAACUUUUAACACAUAGCAAAACCUAAGUAACAAAGGUAGCUAAUUUUCACAAGAACCAAACCAAAAAGCCCUAUCUCUUCCUUGCCACGCUUACAUGAAAAUUGCCAGCACAUUUUUGCACAUAUCAGUCGGCUAAUCCAAAACUAACAACUAUCCCCUUUCUCUCUCUCACUGAGAGGGAGGAGGACCCCAAAACACCUCAUGUGGCAUUUGCCCAUUGAGUAGCAAAUUUGGAGGCAAAUUGUAGACAGGCAUUGAACCAUGCUCGCCCAUAGGCUGAGAAGAUUGAGGCCCGGAAUUAUUAUUACCGUUACCACCACCGCCUGCGGUAGUAUUGCUAUUAUCAUUAGUCCCUGAAUUCACUUGCUGCUGCAACUGCGACCCUUCCUGCUCUUGUUCCUCCAGCGGUAAUCUCUCAAAAGUAGCAUUACUAAAUGUUGCUGCUAUCACCAUCACUGGUCCUGCUGCCACCAGCGCCCCCGCCACUGUCCCUCCAACCACCUGCCCUUGCCCACCAGCCAAAUACACAGUCAGCCCCGUUGCUCCAGGAGGUGAAGGAGCAGGAAGAAAUGAACCCGAUAACGAUAAAAUCUCAAAUCUUCCAUGAAGAGUGAUUACCCCACCGGGUGCUGCAGGCUGCCUAAGAGUAAUAUUAGUCACUAUGCCACUUCCACUUAGGAUUGAAACCCCACGGUGGCGGCGUUGAGCAAAAGUUGCAAUGCUUUCAGUGAUGUCACUGCCAGAGCUGAUUUCCAAGACAUGGCUGUGAAGAGAAUUAGGGCUUUCUUUGGUGAUGACUAUGGGCGGUUUUGGUUUGUUUUUCGAACCCGGUGGCCUGCCUCUUGGCCUGCGGGAAGAGCUUCCGCUACCUGGUUCAAUGGUUUCAAAAGCUGUAUUAAGGUCUUCAGAUUCUUGGUGGUUGUAGUCUCUGCUGUCUUCUUGUUCUUCAUGGUUUUGGUUUUGGUUUUGAUUAGGGGUAGAGGUGGACGUGGAGGCGGUCUUAGGGCUAUUGGUGCUAUUGCUUACGUUUGUGUUGGGGGCGAUAAAAUCCCGUUCUCUCCUUGGACCCAAACGGUUCAAACCAGCAGUAUCUUCCUCUGGGUUUCUCAGGUGAAGAGAUGGAGCUGGGGAUAUUGCAUCAACACCUCUCAUGGCAACAUUUCCAGCCCACCAGCGAUUUGCCAUGUUUGAUUCUUGACAAAAGAGCCCUGUACCCCUCUAAAUUUGAAAGAAAGAAAAAAAGAAAAAAAGGAAAAUUCGAGAACCCAAAUAGAGAAAGUCUUCUUUGUAUCGUCACUCUCUGUUGUUCUUAUCUCACAUCAUCUGUACCUUGCUGAAUCAGAAACUGACAAAAACACAACAACGGAAGAAGGACGAGUGUAUUGCUUUAUUAUCACUCUUUGUUUGUUUGUUCAUGCAGAUUCAUAGAUCUCUAACAAAGAACCCCAAAUCCAAAAAUAGAUAUGUACAAAUUCAAAACCUUAUCCUUAUUCUCGCCCAAAGAAUCAACCAAUCCCAACUAGCUACAAGCUAUCCAUAUCUUGCAUGAAUCAGACAUUAGACAUAUGGGUUUCUUUUGUUUUGCAUGAAAAUCAAAACCCUGAACAUCAGCUU
This 1829-nucleotide unclassified non-coding RNA is filed under the name Hevea brasiliensis (rubber tree). Lineage: Eukaryota; Viridiplantae; Streptophyta; Magnoliopsida; Malpighiales; Euphorbiaceae. The record is from RNAcentral.